RNAcentral lists this ribosomal RNA (254 nucleotides) under uncultured bacterium. Its description in RNAcentral is "partial 16S ribosomal RNA". It matches the Rfam family "Bacterial small subunit ribosomal RNA", at positions 524 to 776 of the family's 1533-position model. The record is from RNAcentral.
UACGGGGGUGGCAAGCGUUGUUCGGAAUUACUGGGCGUAAAGGGCUCGUAGGUGGCCAACUAAGUCAGACGUGAAAUCCCUCGGCUUAACCGGGGAACUGCGUCUGAUACUGGAUGGCUUGAGUUUGGGAGAGGGAUGCGGAAUUCCAGGUGUAGCGGUGAAAUGCGUAGAUAUCUGGAGGAACACCGGUGGCGAAGGCGGCAUCCUGGACCAACACUGACGCUGAGUGAGCGAAAGCCAGGGGAGCAAACAGG